UACGUAGGGGGCAAGCGUUGUCCGGAAUCACUGGGCGUAAAGGGCGCGUAGGCGGCUCAUGAAGGCUGUGGUGAAAGUCCGGGGCUCAACCUCGGAUCGGCCGUGGCGACUCGUGGGCUGGAGCACUGUAGAGGCGGGUGGAAUUCCGGGUGUAGCGGUGGAAUGCGUAGAGAUCCGGAAGAACACCAGUGGCGAAGGCGGCCCGCUGGGCAGUGGCUGACGCUGAGGCGCGAAAGCGUGGGGAGCGAACAGG
This 253-nucleotide ribosomal RNA is filed under the name uncultured bacterium. Its description in RNAcentral is "partial 16S ribosomal RNA". It matches the Rfam family "Bacterial small subunit ribosomal RNA", at positions 524 to 776 of the family's 1533-position model. The record is from RNAcentral.